Long non-coding RNA from Gadus chalcogrammus (walleye pollock), 3431 nucleotides. RefSeq lists it as uncharacterized. The transcript is spliced from 3 exons. The record is from RefSeq and is a predicted model, not a curated record. Lineage: Eukaryota; Metazoa; Chordata; Actinopteri; Gadiformes; Gadidae.
AACAGGCACUGUAGAUAUUAAAGGGGAGGUCGAACUGAAUGCAGAAAAUGAGGGAGAGAGUUUCUGUGUGGACCCAGGAACAUAUAGAAGGGGGGCAAAGUCCAGCAGCAGUAAAUCAUUACAAAGCCCCCCAGCACUCGAGUUACAUGAGAGGCAUGCAUGGUAGAUCAUAUGAGGAGAGAAGAGCACCCGACGCGUCAUCAGGAAAUUAUCUUAUUCUAGUUAAACGACAACAGGCAUUCAUUCUCUCCUCCAGUACAAUGGCCUCAGAGCCAAUUGUCACCGACUCCACCUGUCACACAUGUAUACAUUGGGGAGAGCCGGGUCGAUUGAAACACUUUUCAGUUAAACGUCUUUUUCAAAGAUGACGUUACGUAUACAAAUAAUUUUAACAUGUGAUCAACAACUCACAGGUGUGUUCUCUUAGUUACAAGUAAAAUUGAAUACAUAUGUUGGACGAUCGAGCUGUUUUUUGACUUUGAAUGUAAGUUGACAUUUGUUUCAAACGCCCCGCCUAGUAGGGACGUUUGAAACACACAUGCGGGACGAUUGAAACAGCAUGUUUUAAAAAGAAUCUAUUGCCCUUACUCUUGUUUUUAUGCAACAUACUAGACAACAUACUAGUUUACUCUUCAUUGCUAAAAUUUCACAUAAUUCCGCAUCAUAUAAAUAGGUCAAAAUAUAUUUUUGGCCCGUGCGUAAUUAUCAAGAUGCACAUUUCGAUUAAAACUCACCUUUCUUCUUUUGGACGACUACAUUUGCGUUAAAUUUACUUAUUUCCCUGUCCUAAGUCAUGUUUAAGGAUACACAGUUGAACAUCCUUUUAUUUAUUUUAAACAAAAACGACCAGGUCAACAGGAUAUCACGAGACCUGUUACAGCGGAAAUGUAUCCAAGCGCCGCACAGGGUUAAUUUCUUUUCGACACGCACAGCCCGGCGCACAGAAGCAUCCGGAGUCUCUGUGGACAGGUAAGUGGCUAAACUUAUUUUAUCGGAUAAAUAUUGUGUAAUAGUCUGCACAUUGACAUGAACAUUAUGUUGAAAUCAUAUAACAAGCAGAACUUUGAUUAAGAUUGCACUCUAGCUGAUUGAUGGUAAUUGCUGGAGAAAAAGAUAAAUCGGCAUGCCAUGUGUCAUGACCAAGAGCAAGGGUGUAGAAGGCUAGCCUAUAGCUUAUACCCAGCAGUUUUUAAGUGUGCAUGUCCACUAAAUUCAAUUAUUAUUGUCAUAAUUUAAUGUAGCCGUUGUUAUUUUGGAUGCGUUACAAUCAUGGACGAAAAGUAGGCCUACCCAGCGAAAUAUUUAAUAGCCCAGCUCCCACUCAUAGCCUAACCCAGGCCUAAUAGUUAGUUAGUUAAUCAGUCUAGAAUGUUAAGUGAAUUGUGCUGUAGGCCUACAUUUACAGUAUUUCCACUGCAAACUAGUGCAGACACAUGGACAGUAUAGUAGGCUGAAUAUUUUUAUUCUUUGUCACACAGGUGACACAGGUAGUGUGCACUCCCGUCGGUGCAAGCCUCAUGCGACCACUUGUAACAAAAGACACACUGGACCCACUCUUCCCCAGGCAUCGAGGCGCUGAAGAGCUCGCAGCACACGAGGCAGCUGACGUCCUCGCUGGAUAAGAAGUAUCCAGAAGUAGAGGCAGCAAUGGUGGUGAACUCUGCUGCCUCCGGAACAGGACAAACUAGGCCUAAAGUGGGGCUGACUCCAUCAGCGGGCCAGGUGAUGGUGGGAGGAGCAGCUGAGGUGGCAACUCCAGCAACUCCGGAAUCAGGAGCGGGCGAGAAGAGCCUCUUCUUGGGAGCCCGAGAGGAGGGAGGCUGCUUGGCGGGACGACGCUGCUUCACAGUUCCCUGCUUUUCCGCCUCUAAAGCAGCCCUCACCGGGGUGUCCGUCCGGCCUUAGGGUAAGGCCGGACGAUGUCCGGGCUGAAUUCAACGGCCUCUCCCUCAGGCCGGACAGCUUGAUCAGGUACAUCCAUGCCUGCCAAAGGACGCAUUAAAAAAAUACACACUUUUAAAUAAAUGUUUAUAAACACAGCUUCUCUGCCGUCCACUACCCUAUGGACUUUUUUUAUGAACUUGGACUCAUGGGACUAUUUACUUAUCUAUUAUUAACCUUUGUUUAAUCCUCUGUUGCUUCUGAUGAACUGUUCCUACCUGAAGUGGCACCUGGAGAAGCGCUGACCUCGUCACCCGAAGCCUGGGGAGGAGGACGGUCUGUUGAAUAGGCUCCGGCGAAGUCCUUCUCCUCAAAUGCAGAGGGGUUAAAAGGCCAGAUCCCUGGACUUGAGAACCCGGAGGUGGGUCGUGUGAUUGUCCAGCAGGAGGAGCAGCUUCGACUCCUUGGACACACGGGUGUGACUGGUGAAGUGGGCCAGGUACAGGAGGAAGUCUGGCUCCUUCAUCCAGCCAGUUGGGUUGCCGCUGCCUGCACACUGCACAGCCAACGGGUCCACCCCUCAGGAAGUGGUCUUUGAACCGCUUACGGGGGAAGAUGAAGAAUGGCGGAACAAGGUCGCCCUGAGCAUUGCCUGCCAGGGCAACUGUGACCAGGGUCCCCCUCUCCGCUGAGGUCACUGACCCGACCUGCUUCUUCCCCAUCUGGGCGACGACGCGGUCUGGCACCUGGACAGUGGUGACCCCUGUAAAUAGUUGUGUGAGUUUAGUUGUAUAUAUAUAGUUGUGUGUGUGUAUAUAGUUGUGUUUUAUGUUAAUAAAGUUCAUAUUAAAUACCGGUUUCAUCAAUGUUCCAAAUGUCCUUGGCCUGGAACUGGUGCCGGUCCAGCACUGUCUUUAAAUUUUGGUGGAACAAGUUUACAUUACUUUGGUUGAAACUUGACAACCGUUGUUGGCUAGUGGCCUCUGGACGCCGAAGGGAGAGGCUGCCACUGCGCUCCAUGAAGGAGGUGAACCAGUCCUUCCCCGCCAUGCUUUUCCUCGACCAGGAUGCAGGGAAUGGGCAGCUGAAGUGCACUGCCAGCUCAAAGGCAAAUUUUCUGACCUGAAGGGGUCAUAAAAAGUUGAUGUACAGUUGUGUGUUUAUGUUUGUUAUUUGUUCAUAUUUAUUAAUUUAAGCAUGUGCAUAGCAUACAUGUGUGCCUGUCCCACAACUUAUGUAGCCCUUUUCACAACACUGACCUCAUUAGGGGUGAGCCCAAAAUAAAUGGCUGCUGCCCUCUUCAGGUAGUCCCUGACCUUUCCCUCCUGCGCUGCGUUAAAAACCCUAUUGUGCGGGUUAUAGCCAGGGGACCUAGCCGCUUCACUGCCCUCCGCUUGAGGUAGCGUGACAACGUCACGUGGUUUAUGUUGUUGGCCAACGCUGCCUGCCUCACUGAGCUCCCAGAAUUGACCUCGCUGCAGGCCCUGGCAUACACCCAUGCAGGAACCAGCCCACGGGAGGUGGUUCUCCUUCUCACCCGCGGCAUUUUU